RNA transcript from Neopelma chrysocephalum (saffron-crested tyrant-manakin), 3782 nucleotides. It is a transcript of the gene named fibronectin type III domain containing 7, with no coding region annotated. The transcript is spliced from 13 exons. The record is from RefSeq and is a predicted model, not a curated record. NCBI's taxonomy places the organism in Eukaryota, Metazoa, Chordata, Aves, Passeriformes, Pipridae.
UAUUGAGGAAGGGUGGUUUCCAGUCGGUAUGGCAGUGUUCCAUGAGAAGGGGAGCACCACGAGGGCAUCAUUCCCAACAGAAAAGAAGGUCCUUGUAUGUAGACAAAAAUGCAGUAGGUAAUGAGCUGAAGAGCAAAUCUCAGAUUUACAUUGGGCUUAAUUAUUUUAUGAAUCUUGUAUAACCCAUACGGAGACUGCCUCCUGUAACAGAAGGGGGAAAACCCCACGGCCCGUCGGCGCUGUGUGGGCCCGUGUCCCCAGGGUUUGGUGGCCGCUGGCCGGCAGGGCUCCAGCGGGGAGGAGCGCCCAGCCCAGCGCGACCUCCUCUGUCCCGGGGAGCGAGCCCGCAGUGACAGCACUGCCGAGAAACAGAGCUGCUCACAGCAGGGAUCGGCCUCGGCUCAUCCCCGUGGCAAGGCUGGAACAAAGCUCUGACAAGAUGUGUGGUGCGAAAAGUAAAUCAUUAGCAUUUACUGGACUGCUUCUCAACUGCCUAGAAAUGAUCUUUGCAGCUAACACAGGUUUCUCUGUGUCUAUAUAUGAUGUGACAUCGCAAAGCAUUUCUCUCAGAUGGCCCAAGUUUUCAGGAGCCUCUUCUUACAGCGUCACAGCUACAGCUGUGAAUACUGUAGGCCAUUCAUUACUGGCUCAUUUCAGCGAUGUUACACUUAAAGCAACUCUAACUUCAUUAAUUCCCAAUACUGUUUAUGCUAUACAAGCAGAAGCCAUUGACAAGAAUGGAAUUAUUCUUGCAGAAACACAGAUUAUGCAGUCAACAGCUCCAGACAUACCUGUUAUUGACCAAGCUUAUUCAAAACUUAGCAACAGUAUCACAGUGGAAUGGAGAGCGGUACCUGGGGCUACUAGUUACAUGCUGACUGCACAAGAUGGAGAUUCCUUCAUUGAAACUGUAGUUAAAAAUUCUCCAGGCACAGUGACGGGGCUGAAACCUGCCACCUUGUACAGAAUCACUAUCAGAUCUAUAAAUUCAGGAGGAAAAAGCCAGCCUUCACCUUUCAGAAAAGCAAAAACAGUCCUGGCUGCUCCGAUUCUGUCUGUUAGUUCUCCGAGCUGUGACUCCAUUGCACUGAGCUGGAAAGCUGUGUAUAUGGCAGCUGGAUUCUCUGUGUCACUCAUGAGGUCAGAUGGUUUGGGCAGAAUGCUGAGGGAGAACACCACCAAUACCUCCUUGAUAUUUACAAAUCUAGAUCCAGGAACUCUCUAUACUAUCAAGGCUUAUGCCUGGAAUGCCAAUGGGAUGCCUGGAGAUGAUUUCACAUAUAACCAAAGAACAAGUCCUGAUGCACCGGCGGAUGUUAAAGUAGCUUUUAAUAGUGGUGCUUUAAGAGUUUCUUGGAUGCCAACAGAAGGAGCUCUAACUUACAGUGUCACAGCCUCCAAUGGACUCUUGAAACUGAAGUGUAACACGUCCUCCUCCUCCUGCAUGGUGCCGUCCCUCCAGUGCAGCUCUGAAUAUUAUGUUUCUGUCACAGCAUACAAUGAUGCUGGAUCCAGUAAACCUACUGAUGCAGUAAGCUUAAAAACUAUUCCUUGUGCACCAGUAAACAUAUCAAUUGAAGAGGAUGAACCUGGUCACUUGCUGGUGUCAUGGUCUAGCGUCAGUUUUGGUCAUUAUUAUGUGGUUUUUGUGAAGAGUGAUGAUGGCUUGGAAGUGCACUGCAACACAUCAUAUACUCAAUGUCAUUUCCAGUCAGACUGUGGCUUCACUUAUUUCAUUAGUGUCUUUGCAUAUAACAAGGCAGGGCAGAGUCCUUUAGGUGAUGUAUUCAAUUACACUACUGCUCCUUGUUGCCCCAGCGACUUCAGGGCCGUGUUCGUGUCCAGCGACACCGUGCGGGUCACCUGGGCUCCUGUGCGAGGCGCCGACCUGUACGAGACCAGAGCUGCCGCCUGGAGCACGGUGGUGCUCUGCAAUGACACGGCCCCGGCCUGCACCCUGUCAGCUCUGCACUGCAACACCCGCUACAACAUCACCGUUCAUUCCUUCAGCGAGGCCAGGGGCAGCAACACCUCAUGUGUGCCCAAGCACGUGGCAACAGCUCCCUGCAGUCCCGAAAUUAAAAAUGUCUCAAAGGAGGGUCUUUCUGUAAUCAGUGUACAGUGGCAAUCUAACAAUGAAGACGCUACAUAUGUUGUCACUGCUAGAGGAGAGGCUGGACUUUGGCAUUGCACAAGCACUGGAAGCUCCUGUACCUUAACUGAUCUUCCCUGUGGAUCUGCUUUCUCUGUUAGUGCUAUAGCAAGAUCACCAGCAGGACAGAGCUUACCAAGCUACAGUGUCCCUUUAGAGACAGCUCCUUGUUGCCCUAACGACCUGAUACUAACUCAAGUGACACAGUCUGUAACAAAUAUCAGCUGGUCUGCUGGGAAGGGUGCCCAGACAUAUGUAACAACACUGGAGUCUCCAAAAGGACAGGCAAAGUGUCGCACUCUUCAGAACUACUGUCUCCUGGGAUGCAUCACAUGUGGCACCAACUACACAGUGUCUCUGAAAGCAAUUAGUGAAACGGGUCUGACGUCCAGUUGCACAUAUCAGGGAUAUUCUUCCAGUGCUUGCUGCCCUUCUGGGGUGAAGCUAUACAGACUGAGCAACAGUGGCAUCAGGGUGUUCUGGCGAGCCUCUGAUGAAACAAUAAACUACAGCACUGAUUUACAUGGCUCAAAAGGCAACUUCACCUGUAUCCCCAGCGCAGGUCGAAGUCACUGCGACAUCACCGAGAUACCCUGUGGGGAUGUCUACACAGUGGUGGUAGCUCCACUUACUGAUAAGGGUCCGAAGCUCACAUUCUGUCCUAAAAGAAUAUAUUCAGUAACCUGUUCUGGAAGCUCUGUUGGAAUGGGUAAGAGCACAAAGUACAUUCAUUACAAAUUCAUGAUGUUUGUAAAAUAUGUUCGCAUCGUUUAACUUCAAAUAAGAUGCAUAUAACAUAAAUUUGAUCAUCAAGGCUUCUGUUAGUGUUAUGCAGGUUUGUCUCACCCCCCAUCUUAUAAUGUAUAAUUAAAAAAAACAAUCUUAUCUACAUUGUGGCCUGUAUACCAUCAUGCAUAGUCACAGCACUUACUGUUUAUCAGAUAGCACAAAAUAAAAGGCAGGCUUAUCUUUUAUAGCCUCACCAUAUCCCAUUACAAAUUAAAAGAGGUUGCAGUUCUGAUUUUUAUUUUUAAAAAGCUUAAAAAAAUGUGGCUUACCUCAACUUAUUCUACCUUAUUUCUUCUGGGGUUUCAACAGGAUAAUCUUGUGCUUUAUUUGCCUACAUAAACUGCUAGAAACAACUUCAAAAGCAGCCACUGAAAGACAGUUGCUUUUCCAUAACUGAAAUUGAAUUUCCAAAUUCUUUUAUAGUGAUUUAUAGAGGGAAGAGCAAUGCAGAACACAUCUAAAUGAAAAUUCUGGUUCAGAUAAGGAGUUCUCUGUCAAAACUAGAUGAUCCAUGGCCUUCCCGAUGGUGACUUCUGCUUCUGGAUCUUCUGGGAGACCUCCUGGGACUGAUCGAUCUUGGUCUUGGAGACCUUUUAAAAAAGAAGAUAUUCAGUGUGAAACACAUCCUUUUCAAGUUAAGAGACCAUCUUUCCUUUUCAAUUUAUACUUUAUGUACACAGUCUGUUUUUCAUCUUAAAUACCAAAUAUCAUGUGAUGAUUUUAACCUAUUAGCAUCCAUAAACUGUUUUGCCUGUUGCCUUAAAACCUAACCCAGUGAAAAGACAAGAUGUUGCUGGUAAGAAGUUGUUCAAUAUUAAACUUUUAACAUUCAUUUUAAAAA